Molecule: ribosomal RNA, 40 nt
Filed under: Pentatrichomonas hominis
Lineage: Eukaryota; Parabasalia; Trichomonadida; Trichomonadidae
Description: partial 28S ribosomal RNA
Source: RNAcentral
CACGUAGUCUGGGAUAUGUAGGAGAACCCGCUGAACUGAA